GCGGUGGUAGCCCAGUCGGGUAAGAGCACGCUUCUCACGCCAUAGAUGCGGGUUCGAAUCCCGGCGCUCACAUGCA
This 76-nucleotide transfer RNA is filed under the name Plutella xylostella (diamondback moth). Its description in RNAcentral is "tRNA-Glu". The record is from RNAcentral. Lineage: Eukaryota; Metazoa; Arthropoda; Insecta; Lepidoptera; Plutellidae.